This 440-nucleotide ribosomal RNA is filed under the name uncultured bacterium. RNAcentral's name for it is "partial 16S ribosomal RNA". It matches the Rfam family "Bacterial small subunit ribosomal RNA", at positions 338 to 795 of the family's 1533-position model. The record is from RNAcentral.
CCUACGGUGGGCAGCAGUGGGGGAUAUUGCACAAUGGGGGAAACCCUGAUGCAGCGACGCCGCGUGUGGGAAGACGGUCCUCUGGAUUGUAAACCACUGUCCCCAGGGACGAAGAUGACGGUACCUGGGGCGGAAGCUCCGGCUCCCAACGUGUCAGCAGCCGCGGUAAUACGUAGGGAGCGCGCGUUGUACGGAAUUACGGGGUGUAAAGGGAGCGUGGGCGGGGAUGCAAGUUGGGUGUCAAAACUACCGGCUCAACUGGUAGUCGCACUCGAAACUGCAGAUCUUGAGUGAAGUAGAGGCAGGCGGAAUUCCUAGUGUAGCGGUGAAAUGCGUAGAUAUUAGGAGGAACACCAGUGGCGAAGGCGGCCUACUGGGCUGUUACUGACGCUGAGGCUCGAAAGUGUGGGGAGCAAACAGGAUUAGAUACCCCUGUAGUC